ACUCAAAUGAAUAGACGGGGGCCCGCACAAGCAGUGGAGCAUGUGGUUUAAUUCGAUGCAACGCGAAGAACCUUACCCAGGCUCGAAAUGUAAUGGCUAGUACCAGAAAUGGUAUGUUCCGCAAGGACUGUUAUAUAGGUGCUGCAUGGCUGUCGUCAGCUCGUGCCGUGAGGUGUUUGGUUAAGUCCAGCAACGAGCGCAACCCUUAUCAUUAGUUGCCAACAUUUAAGGUGGGGACUCUAAUGAGACUGCCUGGGUUAACCAGGAGGAAGGUGAGGAUGACGUCAAGUCCGCAUGGCCUUUAUGUCUGGGGCUACACACGUGCUACAAUGGUCGGUACAGAAGGCAGCAAGACCGCAAGGUGGAGCAAAUCCCUAAAGCCGAUCUCAGUUCAGAUUGUCGUCUGCAACUCGACGACAUGAAGUUGGAAUUGCUAGUAAUGACGUGUCAGCUACAACGUCGUGAAUACGUUCCCGGGCCUUGUACACACCGCCCGU
RNAcentral lists this ribosomal RNA (497 nucleotides) under uncultured bacterium. RNAcentral describes it as "partial 16S ribosomal RNA". It matches the Rfam family "Bacterial small subunit ribosomal RNA", at positions 899 to 1397 of the family's 1533-position model. The record is from RNAcentral.